UACGUAGGGUGCGAGCGUUGUCCGGAUUUAUUGGGCGUAAAGCGCGUGUAGGCGGCCAGGUAGGUCGGUUGUGAAAACUGGAGGCUCAACCUCCAGACGUCGACCGAAACCAUCUGGCUAGAGUCCGGAAGAGGAGAGUGGAAUUCCUGGUGUAGCGGUGAAAUGCGCAGAUAUCAGGAAGAACACCGAUGGCGAAGGCAGCUCUCUGGGACGGUACUGACGCUGAGACGCGAAAGCGUGGGGAGCGAACAGG
This 253-nucleotide ribosomal RNA is filed under the name uncultured bacterium. RNAcentral describes it as "partial 16S ribosomal RNA". It matches the Rfam family "Bacterial small subunit ribosomal RNA", at positions 524 to 776 of the family's 1533-position model. The record is from RNAcentral.